Bradysia coprophila is the source of this 158-nucleotide long non-coding RNA. The record is from RefSeq and is a predicted model, not a curated record. NCBI's taxonomy places the organism in Eukaryota, Metazoa, Arthropoda, Insecta, Diptera, Sciaridae.
UUUAUUUAUUUAUUUAUAGUUCCAACGAACAGGCCGAAGCCCAAUUAUACAUUGAACUUAAACUUAAAUUAUAACUAGAAAGUUGAUACAGUAAAAUUUAAAAGAUUAAGAAGAAAAUUAAAAAUUUAGAAAUUGAAAAAAGAGGGAAUAUGGCCUUU